UCAUGGCUCAGAUUGAACGCUGGCGGCAGGCCUAACACAUGCAAGUCGAGCGGAUGAAGGGAGCUUGCUCCUGGAUUCAGCGGCGGACGGGUGAGUAAUGCCUAGGAAUCUGCCUGGUAGUGGGGGAUAACGUCCGGAAACGGGCGCUAAUACCGCAUACGUCCUGAGGGAGAAAGUGGGGGAUCUUCGGACCUCACGCUAUCAGAUGAGCCUAGGUCGGAUUAGCUAGUUGGUGGGGUAAAGGCCUACCAAGGCGACGAUCCGUAACUGGUCUGAGAGGAUGAUCAGUCACACUGGAACUGAGACACGGUCCAGACUCCUACGGGAGGCAGCAGUGGGGAAUAUUGGACAAUGGGCGAAAGCCUGAUCCAGCCAUGCCGCGUGUGUGAAGAAGGUCUUCGGAUUGUAAAGCACUUUAAGUUGGGAGGAAGGGCAGUAAGUUAAUACCUUGCUGUUUUGACGUACCA
Molecule: ribosomal RNA, 467 nt
Filed under: Pseudomonas aeruginosa
Lineage: Bacteria; Pseudomonadati; Pseudomonadota; Gammaproteobacteria; Pseudomonadales; Pseudomonadaceae
Description: bacterial SSU rRNA
Rfam family: Bacterial small subunit ribosomal RNA
Source: RNAcentral